GUCCGCGUAGCUCAGCAGGAUAGAGCACAGGAUUCCUAAGGUUUUGAAUUGGGCGCCAUGAUGGGAAACCGCAUGGUGGAUUCGCUCAAAUUCGGGGAACGCUCUGAUCAUCUCGAUCGUGCCAAUCCCGAGCCAAGCUUUCCGGCGUGCCGGCAAGAAGGUGUAGAGACUGUACGGGCGACACCUUGGCUUUCUGGCCAUGGUGAAGAGACAGUCCAGACCACGAACAUGCUUCCGGGCAUGGCGGUGAAAACCGAAGUGGUAUGAAUCCUGGGGCCGGAGGUUCGAAUCCUCUCGCGGACACCA
RNAcentral lists this transfer RNA (306 nucleotides) under Gluconobacter oxydans DSM 3504. RNAcentral describes it as "tRNA-Und (NNN) (tRNA-Und-NNN-1-1)". The stretch from base 36 to 239 matches the Rfam family "Group I catalytic intron". Rfam says of the family: Group I catalytic introns are large self-splicing ribozymes. They catalyse their own excision from mRNA, tRNA and rRNA precursors in a wide range of organisms. Lineage: Bacteria; Pseudomonadati; Pseudomonadota; Alphaproteobacteria; Acetobacterales; Acetobacteraceae. The record is from RNAcentral.